UAGGGAAUCUUCGGCAAUGGACGAAAGUCUGACCGAGCAACGCCGCGUGAGUUCAGAAGGUUUUCGGAUCGUAAAACUCUGUUGUUAUAGAAGAACAAGGACGUUAGUAACUGAACGUCCCCUGACGGUAUCUAACCAGAAAGCCACGGCUAACUACGUGCCAGCAGUCGCGUUAAUACGUAGGUGGCAAGCGUUGUCCGGAUUUAUUGGGCGUAAAGCGAGCGCAGGGGGUUUCUUAAGUCUGAUGUGAAAGCCCCCGGCUCAACCGGGGAGGGUCAUUGGAAACUGGGAGACUUGAGUGCAGAAGAGGAGAGUGGAAUUCCAUGUGUAGCGGUGAAAUGCGUAGAUAUAUGGAGGAACACCAGUGGCAAAGGCGGCUCUCUGGUCUGUAACUGACGCUGAGGCUCGAAAGCGUGGGGAGCAAACAGG
RNAcentral lists this ribosomal RNA (429 nucleotides) under Gemmatimonadota bacterium. Its description in RNAcentral is "Gemmatimonadetes bacterium partial 16S ribosomal RNA". It matches the Rfam family "Bacterial small subunit ribosomal RNA", at positions 355 to 776 of the family's 1533-position model. Lineage: Bacteria; Pseudomonadati; Gemmatimonadota. The record is from RNAcentral.